RNAcentral lists this ribosomal RNA (408 nucleotides) under uncultured bacterium. RNAcentral's name for it is "partial 16S ribosomal RNA". It matches the Rfam family "Bacterial small subunit ribosomal RNA", at positions 28 to 526 of the family's 1533-position model. The record is from RNAcentral.
GACGAACGCUGGCGGCGUGCUUAACACAUGCAAGUCGAACGUAGUGGCGAACGGGUGAGUAACACGUGAGCAACCUACCUUACACAGGGGGAUAGCCGUUGGAAACGACGCUUAAUACCGCAUGGUGUAAGAAGGGGUCGCGUCUGAUUCGCUAGCUGGAAGGGUAAAGGCCUACCAAGGCGACGAGCAGUAGCCGGUAGGUUAGGAUGAACGGCCACAGUAGAAGUGAGACACGGUCCAAACUCCAACGGGAGGCAGAAGUGGGGAAUAUGGAACAAUGGGGGGAAGCCUAAGGCAGCGACGCCGCGUGGGCGAAGAAGGUUUUAGAAGCGUAAAGCUCGGUCCUAUGAGAAGCGGUAUCAUAGGAGAAAGCCCCGGCUAAAUACGUGCCAGCCGCCGCGGUAAUUC